UGAGAAGUAAUGUUAUCAGAGCAGCAUUUAAAGAAGCUGGAUAUGCAAUCCCACUUUGAGAUGAAUGUGCUGGCAGUAGAAUUUAGAGGAAGACACAGGAGAAAAAUCUGCACUAUGAUGUGGAGAUAGACACAAACUACAUCGUGAAGAAGGCUGAAUCAAAGGUUGUAACAAAACGCAUUCUGUCUGAUCGCCACUUGCAGAGUCCAGUGACAACAUUGAGUGACUUAUCUUGUGUCUCACUCCACCUGAAGUUCAGGCUGGCAUCACGUCGACAAUGGCCAAGUUGUUGACUAGCUGUCUUGAGGUAAGACAUGAGGACCUCCUCCUUGCCUUCCACAAUGAUUUUGAGACCUGCCCAGUCACGUGGAACUGUAAGGCCAUUAAACCUCAUUCUCUUGUAAAUGGCCCAGUCUCAGCUGCCUACAAUGUGCUGCCACCUAAAUAUGAGGAUGUGUGAACUACGCCUAAGAUGACAGAAAGCAUUCACCAGGGCUUAGAAGACCCUGUGGCACCUGAAAGUGAAUGUGCAAUUGGAUUGGAGUUAUGCUGCAACAAUUAGCUGCUCAAUUGUGUGUUUAUUACAUAUACCAAGAUCACUUAAAUAACACUACAGCUCGAACUGAGCUUUCGCUGGCAGUGCACCACUGCUGUUUUGACGCCGUGGCAGACACUCUGCUGACUUCCAUCCCUCUGGAUCCAGCAGGGUGCCCACUGUGCUCCUAAUCCAGCGAGGCGCCCAUUGCUGCUCCACAUCAAGUUAAAGGCUUGCCAUUGUUCCUGCAGGCCUAAGUGCCUGGGUUCGUCCUAAUCGAGUUGAACACUAGUCACUGGGGUCCAUGGUUCCCUUCCGCGACCCACGACUUCUAAUAGAGUUAUAACACUCACCACAUGGCGCAAGAUUCCAUUCCUUGGAAUCCAUGAGACCAAGAACCCCAGGUCAGAGAAUACGACUCUUGCCACCAUCUUGGAAGUGGCCCACCACCAUCUUGGGAGCUCUGGAAGCAAGGACCCCCGGUAACAUUAGGGACAGUACUUGAGAAAUCUACCUUAUGGCUGUGGUUCUGUGUUGUAUUCUGUACUUGCUUCUCUCUACCUUAUGACUUAAAUGAACUAACCUUGAAAGCAGAUGAGUCUUUUGUAUAAAAGACUAGAAAAU
Molecule: long non-coding RNA, 1159 nt
Organism: Homo sapiens (human)
Lineage: Eukaryota; Metazoa; Chordata; Mammalia; Primates; Hominidae
Source: Ensembl